GAAAACCGUUAGGGGUGUUGUCCCACUUUUUCGUGCGUGAUGACUGAGAACAUACCCUUUAACCUGAUCCGGGUAAUUCCGGCGUAGGGAAACUGAAUUAUUUUUUA
This 107-nucleotide non-coding RNA is filed under the name Ignavibacteria bacterium. RNAcentral describes it as "TPP sequence". It matches the Rfam family "TPP riboswitch aptamer (THI element)". Rfam says of the family: Vitamin B(1) in its active form thiamin pyrophosphate (TPP) is an essential coenzyme that is synthesised by coupling of pyrimidine and thiazole moieties in bacteria. The previously detected thiamin-regulatory element, thi box was extended, resulting in a new, highly conserved RNA secondary structure, the THI element, which is widely distributed in eubacteria and also occurs in some archaea. Lineage: Bacteria; Pseudomonadati; Ignavibacteriota; Ignavibacteria. The record is from RNAcentral.